Molecule: long non-coding RNA, 477 nt
Organism: Dermacentor albipictus
Lineage: Eukaryota; Metazoa; Arthropoda; Arachnida; Ixodida; Ixodidae
Source: RefSeq, a predicted model, not a curated record
AACCGUGGCACGAUGUCACCUGUCAAGUUGCCCAGCAGCUGAUUUCAAGUGUCUGGCCGUCGGGCAUGUUUGGCCGUUUUUGCGCCGUCCUCGGAUUUCUCUUGAACGACCUGUGCGAGGAUGUACGAGAUCGAGUAAUGAUUGGUGCAGGUCAUACUGGAACCCUGCUGCACGUGGUGCAAGCACGAACGGGUCGACAUGGCCCAUGUGCUUUGGGAAUGCCAAUGCCAUGAGGAAGAAGGACAAGGAAGAAGGGGGAAGACAACAGCAGGACCCUCUGAAGCGGGGCGCCUCACUGAGAGAUGGCAAGCCGCCCUCCUCAGUGAGGCACCCGAAGACCAGGAGUGGGCCGUCCAGCGGGCCAGGGCCGUUGCCGAGGAUCUCGAAAGAUUUUCCUUGGGUGAUGGACCCCUGGCAGCCUAGCCCCGGGCACCAACAUCAAUAACCGUUGGACAAAUAAAGUUUAUUCCUAUCCUA